RNAcentral lists this ribosomal RNA (502 nucleotides) under uncultured bacterium. RNAcentral describes it as "bacterial SSU rRNA". It matches the Rfam family "Bacterial small subunit ribosomal RNA", at positions 24 to 518 of the family's 1533-position model. The record is from RNAcentral.
UCAGGAUGAACGCUGGCGGCGUGCCUAAUACAUGCAAGUCGAACGAGGGUAGCAAUACGUCGAGUGGCGAACGGGUGAGUAACACGUAGGUAACCUGCCUUACGAGUUUGGGGAUACCCGAGGGAAACCUUGGCUAAUACCGAAUAAUUCUCUGAAGGCAUCUUCGGAAGCUAAAAGGGGCCUUUAAGCCUCGCUGAAUGAUGGACCUGCGGCGCAUUAGCUAGUUGGUGAGAUAAUAGCCCACCAAGGCGAGGAUGCGUAGCCGACCUAAGAGGGUGAACGGCCACACUGGAACUGAGACACGGUCCAGACUCCUACGGGAGGCAGCAGUAGGGAGUUUUCGGCAAUGGGGGAAACCCUGACCGAGCAACGCCGCGUGAACGAUGAAGGUCUUCGGAAUUGUAAAGCUCUGUUGUAAGCCAUGAAUGACAGCUUGAGGAAAUGCAAGUUGUUUGACGACAGCUUACCAGAAAGCCACGGCUAACUACGUGCCAGCCGCGGC